UAUAUUUCCACUAGAAACUAAAAAAUACUUUUGAUUUUAGAUUUUUGCAGUGCAAAACAAAAUGCUCAAUUAAAAAAUUGCUAUAAUUUCAAAAUGCACUUAUAAGCGCUUUCUAAUCGUUUAUCCAAAUAUUAGUGGAAUCUUUUUAAUCUGAGCUUUUCCGGUAAAUUCAGAUGAAAAUGACAAAAGCAGAUUAUGAGGAACUUUAUACGAUGGCCAGACACUCGAUCCGCUCGCGUGUUUAAAUCAACGUCUCCCUCCCGCUUUUAGAAGCCCUGAGUCAAGACACAGAGACAGGAUUAGACGCUGACCUCUGACCUUUCAGCCACGCCAGGAGCUGCUUCACACAGAGGGACCAGAAAAAGACUCUGGAUGUCAGGAAAAAAUACAAAGUUAGAACGGCUCGACUGUAAAGUCAGCAACACGACCACAAAUCCAAAAAUGGAAAAAACAAAA
Molecule: long non-coding RNA, 456 nt
Organism: Poecilia latipinna (sailfin molly)
Lineage: Eukaryota; Metazoa; Chordata; Actinopteri; Cyprinodontiformes; Poeciliidae
Exons: 2
Source: RefSeq, a predicted model, not a curated record